RNAcentral lists this ribosomal RNA (613 nucleotides) under Halorubrum sp. I.C11. RNAcentral's name for it is "bacterial SSU rRNA". It matches the Rfam family "Archaeal small subunit ribosomal RNA", at positions 44 to 658 of the family's 1478-position model. The record is from RNAcentral. Lineage: Archaea; Methanobacteriati; Methanobacteriota; Halobacteria; Halobacteriales; Haloferacaceae.
GAUAGCCAUGCUAGUCGCACGAGUUCAGACUCGUGGCGAAUAGCUCAGUAACACGUGGCCAAACUACCCUUCGGAACACAAUACCCUCGGGAAACUGAGGCUAAUAGUGUAUACCAUACCACCACUGGAAUGAGUGGUAUGCCAAACGCUCCGGCGCCGAAGGAUGUGGCUGCGGCCGAUUAGGUAGACGGUGGGGUAACGGCCCACCGUGCCAAUAAUCGGUAUGGGUCAUGAGAGUGAGAACCCAGAGACGGAAUCUGAGACAAGAUUCCGGGCCCUACGGGGCGCAGCAGGCGCGAAACCUUUACACUGCACGACAGUGCGAUAGGGGGAUCCCAAGUGCACAGGCAUAGCGCCUGUGCUUUUCGGUACCCUAAGGUGGUACCAUAAUAAGGGCUGGGCAAGACCGGUGCCAGCCGCCGCGGUAAUACCGGCAGCCCAAGUGAUGGCCGAUCUUAUUGGGCCUAAAGCGUCCGUAGCUGGCCGCGCAAGUCCAUCGGGAAAUCCACCUGCUCAACAGGUGGGCGCCCGGUAGAAACUGCGUGGCUUGGGACCGGAAGGCGCGACGGGUACGUCCGGGGUAGGAGUGAAAUCCCGUAAUCCUGGACGGACC